This is a long non-coding RNA of Oncorhynchus tshawytscha (Chinook salmon), 319 nucleotides long. RefSeq lists it as uncharacterized. The record is from RefSeq and is a predicted model, not a curated record. The transcript is spliced from 4 exons. Lineage: Eukaryota; Metazoa; Chordata; Actinopteri; Salmoniformes; Salmonidae.
CUAUCAACAGAUGCAAAGACGUAAUACCAUUCUGUGUGCAUUUCUUGUCCUCUUUGGACAACUGUCUGAAUCCAGUGGAAUUUCAUUAAUGGGUUUUGAAAAGAGAGGUUGGACACUGAAUAGUGCAGGAUACCUCCUUGGGCCAUAUGCACAACGAACGCUGACUGUGAGACAUAGACCCCUACUGGGCAAAAGGAGUGUUUGGGAAGAUGAUGUGAAACCAUUCCAAAACAGUGAAUACAAGUCUGUCAUGGAUGACGCCUACGUUCAAGCUUUUCUGGACUUCAUUACUUACUUACGUCUGAAAGGUGAACUCUCU